UACGUAGGUGGCAAGCGUUGUCCGGAAUUAUUGGGCGUAAAGCGCGCGCAGGCGGUCCUUUAAGUCUGAUGUGAAAGCCCACGGCUCAACCGUGGAGGGUCAUUGGAAACUGGGGGACUUGAGUGCAGAAGAGGAAAGCGGAAUUCCACGUGUAGCGGUGAAAUGCGUAGAGAUGUGGAGGAACACCAGUGGCGAAGGCGGCUUUCUGGUCUGUAACUGACGCUGAGGCGCGAAAGCGUGGGGAGCAAAC
RNAcentral lists this ribosomal RNA (250 nucleotides) under uncultured bacterium. Its description in RNAcentral is "partial 16S ribosomal RNA". It matches the Rfam family "Bacterial small subunit ribosomal RNA", at positions 524 to 773 of the family's 1533-position model. The record is from RNAcentral.